Molecule: ribosomal RNA, 30 nt
Filed under: Archontophoenix tuckeri
Lineage: Eukaryota; Viridiplantae; Streptophyta; Magnoliopsida; Arecales; Arecaceae
Description: partial 5.8S ribosomal RNA
Source: RNAcentral
UCGAGGGCACGUUUGCCUGGGCAUCACAUG